RNAcentral lists this ribosomal RNA (814 nucleotides) under uncultured bacterium. RNAcentral describes it as "bacterial SSU rRNA". It matches the Rfam family "Bacterial small subunit ribosomal RNA", at positions 85 to 901 of the family's 1533-position model. The record is from RNAcentral.
GAAGUUGACAGUGGCGCACGGGUGCGUAACGCGUAUGCAACCUACCCUUUACUGGGGGAUAGCCCGGAGAAAUUCGGAUUAAUACCCCAUAGUAUUUACAGAUGGCAUCUGAAGUAAAUUAAAGAUUUAUUGGUAAAGGAUGGGCAUGCGUGACAUUAGCUAGUUGGUGAGGUAACGGCUCACCAAGGCAACGAUGUCUAGGGGUUCUGAGAGGAUGAUCCCCCACACUGGUACUGAGAUACGGACCAGACUCCUACGGGAGGCAGCAGCAGGGAAUAUUGGUCAAUGGGCGAGAGCCUGAACCAGCCAUGCCGCGUGCAGGAAGACGGCUUUCUGAGUUGUAAACUGCUUUUAUAUGGGAAGAAAAAGUCCUUGCGAGGAAAAUUGCCGGUACCAUAUGAAUAAGCACCGGCUAACUCCGUGCCAGCAGCCGCGGUAAUACGGAGGGUGCAAGCGUUGUCCGGAUUUAUUGGGUUUAAAGGGUGCGUAGGCGGAUCUUUAAGUCAGUGGUGAAAUCCUGCAGCUUAACUGUAGAACUGCCAUUGAUACUGGAGGUCUUGAGUAUACUAGAGGUAGGCGGAAUUUAUGGUGUAGCGGUGAAAUGCAUAGAUACCAUAAAGAACACCGAUAGCGUAGGCAGCUUACUGGAGUAUAACUGACGCUGAGGCACGAAAGCAUGGGUAGCGAACAGGAUUAGAUACCCUGGUAGUCCAUGCCGUAAACGAUGAUUACUCGAUGUUGGCGAUAUACUGUCAGCGUCCAAGCGAAAGCGUUAAGUAAUCCACCUGGGGAGUACGCUCGCAAGAGUGAAACU